AGCGGAGGAAAAGAAACCAACAGGGAUUGCCCCAGUAACGGCGAGUGAAGCGGCAACAGCUCAAAUUUGAAAUCUGGCCUCGGCCCGAGUUGUAAUUUGCAGAGGAAGCUUCUGGUGCGGUCCGUCCCGAGUCCCCUGGAACGGGGCGCCGUAGAGGGUGAGAGCCCCGUACGGACGGAUACCAAUCCUGUGUGAAGCUCCUUCGACGAGUCGAGUAGUUUGGGAAUGCUGCUCAAAAUGGGAGGUAAAUUCCUUCUAAAGCUAAAUACCGGCCAGAGACCGAUAGCGCACAAGUAGAGUGAUCGAAAGAUGAAAAGCACUUUGAAAAGAGGGUUAAACAGCACGUGAAAUUGUUGAAAGGGAAGCGCUUGUGACCAGACUUGCGCCAGGCUGAUCAUCCGGUGUUCUCACCGGUGCACUCGGCCUGGCUCAGGCCAGCAUCGGUUCCCGCGGGGGGAUAAAGGUCCCGGGAAUGUAGCUCCUCCGGGAGUGUUAUAGCCCGGGGCGCAAUGCCCCCGUGGGGACCGAGGUUCGCGCAUCUGCAAGGAUGCUGGCGUAAUGGUCAUCAGCGACCCGUCUUGAAACACGGACCAAGGAGUCAAGGUUUUGCGCGAGUGUUUGGGUGUCAAACCCGCACGCGUAAUGAAAGUGAACGUAGGUGAGAGCUUCGGCGCAUCAUCGACCGAUCCUGAUGUCUUCGGAUGGAUUUGAGUAGGAGCGUUAAGCCUUGGACCCGAAAGAUGGUGAACUAUGCUUGGAUAGGGUGAAGCCAGAGGAAACUCUGGUGGAGGCUCGCAGCGGUUCUGACGUGCAAAUCGAUCGUCAAAUCUGAGCAUGGGGCGAA
Molecule: ribosomal RNA, 844 nt
Filed under: Jugulospora antarctica
Lineage: Eukaryota; Fungi; Ascomycota; Sordariomycetes; Sordariales; Schizotheciaceae
Description: eukaryotic LSU rRNA
Rfam family: Eukaryotic large subunit ribosomal RNA
Source: RNAcentral